GCCAUAUCAUGUUGAAACACCAUUUCUGGUAUGAUCACAAAAGUUAAGCAUGUCAAGCAGGGUUAGUACCUAGAUGGGUGACCACCUGGGAAUACUAGGUGCUGUAAG
This is a non-coding RNA of Acanthosepion pharaonis, 108 nucleotides long. NCBI's taxonomy places the organism in Eukaryota, Metazoa, Mollusca, Cephalopoda, Sepiida, Sepiidae. The record is from the annotation of a GenBank genome assembly.